UCAGCAUCACCAUGCGGAGUAGCCCGCGCUUGGGGUCGACUUGGCUCGUCUUCCGCAUCACGCGAUUAAUUAACGUACCUGAACGAAAUGCAUUAUGUAUAUGAAUGCAUAUAAACAAGAAUAGUGCGAGACUAAAUAUUACUACAUGUCCACGAAUUAAACACCUAUAGCAACACAUCGCCAAUCAAUAAUAUAUAUAUUCACGCUCUACUUGCCUUUUAAAGUUCGACACCAAAAACUUAAUAAUUCUAAAUUCAUUAGUCUAAGACAUUUAAAUCUUAAAACAAGGACAAAAGCACGUUAACAUUCUAAACUACCAGACCGGACGACUUCGCAUCACCCGCCCGCUAAUUAAAAUGUCUAUUAGCAAAACAUUAAUUUAUUUAAACAAACUAAAUCGGCACGACAACAUCGUCAGAACUUACUAGCUAGCCAGAUAAAAUACUUAACCUAUCUUUUAUAUUAUUAAUUCGAUCACUCAUCGGAUACGAAACACCGAUUUAAUCCUUCUCGCAUAUCCUAAACUUAGCUACGCAGCACGACGACUUCGCAAUCGUGGACACAAUUACCCUGCUACAUGUAGCCCCGUAUUCCAACAAGCGUCAAAUAAAUACGUGCCCGAGCUACAAGCGGAAUAAUCGUCGUGACAUACGUACCUAGCAAUCUAUCCAUUAAACCAAUUAUUGGAAGUGGCGAAUUAGCUUACCAUAAUUAAAUUCGACUUGAAAUCAUGAAAUGGACAACGCCUUUCAGCUCUAGCCUUUCCCCGAAUACAUGGUGAGUGCCACAUCCCCGAAUACAUGGUGAGUGCCACAUCGAAUUACACUUCUUCGUCCACAUCGAGAAUUCUCUGGCCACGUACUGAUUUAUUUUCUUAUGCGCCUAAUUUUCUUAGAUUUUUGGCGUAGGCGAGGAUGACGACCCACGACUUGUUCGAGCUUUUUGUCGAGCACUUGAAGCAUCGACCAGUGGCUUGUUUCUCUACAUCUUAUUGAGAUUCUUUUGUCGGCGCGAACACUAAGUCGAAGAUAUCACGCAGGGGGUGGCAUUGAGACGAGACUACGGAACAACGACGAACUAGCGAGCUGAACCACAGCAAGUGAGGUCUUAGCGCGGAUGAGCAACGGCAACUAGCGGACUCGGAACAGCCGAGUGAGGUGCACGGCCAUCAAAGCGUAAGCGCCGGCGAGCUGAACAUCCACGACGGACGACAGCAGGAUCGACCGAGUGCGCACAGACGACAGCAGGAUCGACCGAGUGCGCACAGAGGUGGAUGGCACGGCGAGCAAGUCCAUGGACGAACGCCGAGCAGGAACGAGAUCCGGGCUGGGAGAUGGGCAGGGAUGGAGCUCGACCGAACGGCUGCCAGCAGGGGGAGCUGCUCGGCUGCAGCAUCACGGCGUCGGCCUGCAGCAUCUCCAACACGGCGGCCGCAGCUGGAACAAGGAGAAGCGCCAGCGAGCAGAGAGGGGCGACCGGUGCUGCUAGAGCUGGAGCAGGAACGCGCCAUGGGAGAGACGCGGACCUGGGGCCGGGCGCGCACAGGGAGCUUCGACCAGGGCGCGGCUGGGGAGCUCAGGGAGAGAAAGCCGAGCGCCAGCCAGGGAGACGGAGGAAUGAGCGCUCGCAAGAAAAUCUGGCGACGGGAUGAGGCUAAGAGAGAAGAGAUAAGA
RNAcentral lists this long non-coding RNA (1673 nucleotides) under Zea mays. Its description in RNAcentral is "long non-coding RNA (ZMAY_LNC001674)". The record is from RNAcentral. Lineage: Eukaryota; Viridiplantae; Streptophyta; Magnoliopsida; Poales; Poaceae.